RNAcentral lists this ribosomal RNA (499 nucleotides) under uncultured bacterium. Its description in RNAcentral is "partial 16S ribosomal RNA". It matches the Rfam family "Bacterial small subunit ribosomal RNA", at positions 28 to 507 of the family's 1533-position model. The record is from RNAcentral.
GACGAACGCUGGCGGCGUGCCUAAUACAUGCAAGUCGAGCGAAGUUUUUCCGGUGCUUGCACUAGAAAAACUUAGCGGCGAACGGGUGAGUAACACGUAAAGAACCUGCCUCAUAGACUGGGACAACUAUUGGAAACGAUAGCUAAUACCGGAUAACAGUAUUUCUCGCAUGAGAGAUAUUUAAAAGUUGGUUAUGCUAACACUAUGAGAUGGCUUUGCGGUGCAUUAGCUAGUUGGUGGGGUAAAGGCCCACCAAGGCGACGAUGCAUAGCCGACCUGAGAGGGUGAUCGGCCACACUGGGACUGAGACACGGCCCAGACUCCUACGGGAGGCAGCAGUAGGGAAUCUUCCGCAAUGGGCGAAAGCCCGACGGAGCAACGCCGCGUGAGUGAAGAAGGAUUUCGGUUCGUAAAGCUCUGUUGUUAGGGAAGAAUGGAUAUGUAGUAACUAUACAUGUAAGAGACGGUACCUAACCAGAAAGCCACGGCUAACUACGUG